AUGGUUAAGUUAGAAAGGGCGCACGGUGAAUGCCUUGGCACUAGGAGCCGAUGAAGGACGGGACUAACACCGAUAUGCUUCGGGGAGCUGUAAGUGAGCUUUGAUCCGGAGAUUUCCGAAUGGGGAAACCCACUGUUCGUAAUGGAACAGUAUCUUUAUCUGAAUACAUAGGAUAUUGAAGGCAGACCCGGGGAACUGAAACAUCUAAGUACCCGGAGGAAGAGAAAGCAAAUGCGAUUUCCUGAGUAGCGGCGAGCGAAACGGAAUUAGCCCAAACCAAGAGGCUUGCCUCUUGGGGUUGUAGGACACUCUAUACGGAGUUACAAAGGAACGAAGUAAAUGAAGCGACCUGGAAAGGUCCGUCGAAGAAGGUAACAACCCUGUAGUUGAAACUUCGUUCCCUCUUGAGUGGAUCCUGAGUACGGCGGAACACGUGAAAUUCCGUCGGAAGCUGGGAGGACCAUCUCCCAAGGCUAAAUACUACCUAGUGACCGAUAGUGAACCAGUACCGUGAGGGAAAGGUGAAAAGCACCCCGGAAGGGGAGUGAAAGAGAUCCUGAAACCGUGUGCCUACAAGUAGUCAGAGCCCGUUAACGGGUGAUGGCGUGCCUUUUGUAGAAUGAACCGGCGAGUUACGAUCCCAUGCAAGGUUAAGCUGAUAAGGCGGAGCCGUAGCGAAAGCGAGUCUGAAUAGGGCGUUUAGUAUGUGGUUGUAGACCCGAAACCAGGUGAUCUACCCAUGUCCAGGGUGAAGUUCAGGUAACACUGAAUGGAGGCCCGAACCCACGCACGUUGAAAAGUGCGGGGAUGAGGUGUGGGUAGCGGAGAAAUUCCAAUCGAACCUGGAGAUAGCUGGUUCUCUCCGAAAUAGCUUUAGGGCUAGCCUCAUGUUGUGAGAGUCUUGGAGGUAGAGCACUGAUUGGACUAGGGGCCCCCAACGGGUUACCGAAUUCAGUCAAACUCCGAAUGCCAAAGACUUAUCCAUGGGAGUCAGACUGCGAGUGAUAAGAUCCGUAGUCAAAAGGGAAACAGCCCAGACCACCAGCUAAGGUCCCCAAGUAUACGUUAAGUGGAAAAGGAUGUGGAGUUGCUUAGACAACCAGGAUGUUGGCUUAGAAGCAGCCACCAUUUAAAGAGUGCGUAAUAGCUCACUGGUCGAGUGACUCUGCGCCGAAAAUGUACCGGGGCUAAACGUAUCACCGAAGCUGUGGAUUGACAUCUUUGAUGUCAGUGGUAGGAGAGCGUUCUAAGUGCUGUGAAGUCAGACCGUAAGGACUGGUGGAGCGCUUAGAAGUGAGAAUGCCGGUAUGAGUAGCGAAAGACAAGUGAGAAUCUUGUCCACCGAAUGCCUAAGGUUUCCUGAGGAAGGCUCGUCCGCUCAGGGUUAGUCGGGACCUAAGCCGAGGCUGAAAAGCGUAGGCGAUGGCCAACAGGUUGAUAUUCCUGUACCACCUCCCCGCCGUUUGAGUAAUGGGGGGACGCAGUAGGAUAGGGUAAGCGCGCUGCUGGAUAUGCGCGUUCAAGCAGUUAGGCUGAUGAGUAGGCAAAUCCGCUCAUCAUAAAGGCUGAGCUGUGAUGACGAGGGAAUUAUAGUACCGAAGUUCCUGAUUCCACACUGCCAAGAAAAGCCUCUAGCGAGGCGGGAGGUGCCCGUACCGCAAACCGACACAGGUAGGCGAGGAGAGAAUCCUAAGGUGAUCGAGAGAACUCUCGUUAAGGAACUCGGCAAAAUGACCCCGUAACUUCGGGAGAAGGGGUGCUCUGGUAGGGUGUAUAGCCCGAGAGAGCCGCAGUGAAUAGGCCCAGGCGACUGUUUAGCAAAAACACAGGUCUCUGCGAAGCCGCAAGGCGAAGUAUAGGGGCUGACGCCUGCCCGGUGCUGGAAGGUUAAGAGGAGGGGUUAUCCUUUGGGAGAAGCUCUGAAUCGAAGCCCCAGUAAACGGCGGCCGUAACUAUAACGGUCCUAAGGUAGCGAAAUUCCUUGUCGGGUAAGUUCCGACCCGCACGAAAGGCGUAACGAUCUGGGCACUGUCUCAACGAGAGACUCGGUGAAAUUAUAGUACCUGUGAAGAUGCAGGUUACCCGCGACAGGACGGAAAGACCCCGUGGAGCUUUACUGUAGCCUGAUAUUGAAUUUUGGUACAGCUUGUACAGGAUAGGUAGGAGCCUGAGAAGCCGGAGCGCUAGCUUCGGUGGAGGCGUCGGUGGGAUACUACCCUGGCUGUAUUGAAAUUCUAACCCGCGGCCCUGAUCGGGCCGGGAGACAGUGUCAGGUGGGCAGUUUGACUGGGGCGGUCGCCUCCUAAAAUGUAACGGAGGCGCCCAAAGGUUCCCUCAGAAUGGUUGGAAAUCAUUCGUAGAGUGUAAAGGCACAAGGGAGCUUGACUGCGAGACCUACAAGUCGAGCAGGGACGAAAGUCGGGCUUAGUGAUCCGGUGGUUCCGCAUGGAAGGGCCAUCGCUCAACGGAUAAAAGCUACCCCGGGGAUAACAGGCUUAUCUCCCCCAAGAGUCCACAUCGACGGGGAGGUUUGGCACCUCGAUGUCGGCUCAUCGCAUCCUGGGGCUGUAGUCGGUCCCAAGGGUUGGGCUGUUCGCCCAUUAAAGCGGUACGCGAGCUGGGUUCAGAACGUCGUGAGACAGUUCGGUCCCUAUCCGUCGUGGGCGUAGGAAAUUUGAGAGGAGCUGUCCUUAGUACGAGAGGACCGGGAUGGACACACCGCUGGUGUACCAGUUGUCUUGCCAAAGGCAUCGCUGGGUAGCUAUGUGUGGACGGGAUAAGUGCUGAAAGCAUCUAAGCAUGAAGCCCCCCUCAAGAUGAGAUUUCCCAUAGCGCAAGCUAGUAAGAUCCCUGAAAGAUGAUCAGGUUGAUAGGUCAGAGGUGGAAGCGUGGCGACAUGUGUAGCUGACUGAUACUAAUCGAUCGAGGACUUAACUAAA
This 2939-nucleotide ribosomal RNA is filed under the name Priestia aryabhattai. RNAcentral describes it as "bacterial LSU rRNA". It matches the Rfam family "Bacterial large subunit ribosomal RNA". The record is from RNAcentral. Lineage: Bacteria; Bacillati; Bacillota; Bacilli; Caryophanales; Bacillaceae.